Molecule: RNA transcript, 5570 nt
Organism: Chelonia mydas (Green sea turtle)
Lineage: Eukaryota; Metazoa; Chordata; Testudines; Cheloniidae
Gene name: tapasin-related protein
Exons: 10
Source: RefSeq, a predicted model, not a curated record
AUUGCAACAGCCUCUUUGAGAGAAAUGAAAGUGAAACUGAGAGAACUGAAAGUUAUGGGAUAAGAAGAGUGUCUGUAGAGGGUGGCUCUGUAUCUAAAGCAACUCCACUAUGAAUUGCAGGAUUUACACGGCAGUUUGUUGCUUCCUGUGCACUGGAAUCCUAAAGCACCAUAAUGGAGUUGCAACAGCAGGUUCAACCUUUAGUCAAAGUAGGCAGCUUUCCUGCUUGUUUGAGACAACUGAAACAAUCCCAUUGUUAAGUGAUUUCAAGUACAUCAGACAGAAUGCCUGGCUCCUGCUGAGUGGAACUGAAUCGAAGGACACCAAGAGACCUCACUCAGAAAAUCCUCCUGCUGCUGAUACCCUCACGUUUAUCGUACAAGAGUCCUCACUGGAUAUUCUCCAACACGUGGAUGAAGAUACUGACAAGCUUGAAUGUAAGAUUAGCAGAUAUUUUACAGAUAACACCCAGAUCCUCUGGCCUGGGUUACAAACUCAACUUCAUAAACUAGAUUCAUGGUUCACUGGCACCAUAAAGCACCUGGAUGACAAAUUCACCGUUACAGUCUUUUUGGUACAAUCAAGUGCCAGCAAAGAGGCAGAGGACCGAAUCCCCGAAGAUGUUUCUCAAGGCAACGCAGAGACGUUUUAUCUUUCAGGUGUAUUCUUGGUACGCACAGGACCCUCUGUAAUCCAGUCUGGCUUGAAUAAGGAUGUCCUCCUCAGCUGUGCUUUCUCAGUCGAUCACAACACAGAUGUCACCAUCAAAUGGAUAUUACAGCAGAAAGGGGGACACAAAAAGCUGAUAUUUGCCUAUAAUGGAUCUACCAGGCAGGUGGAACACAAGGAUAAACGGGCUGAGAUGUUCCUAGCAGAGAUCCCUAAGGGGAAUGCUUCUCUCUUACUAAGAACAGUGGGAGUAAGAGAUGCAGGAACCUAUUCUUGCCAAAUAUUGGUGUCGUCAGUUCUCUGGGCACAGAAUAUCCAGCUGGAAAUAGUAGAAAAGCCCACGGUGACCCUGAACGCUGCUGUCCUGUCUCUGGUGGAAGGAGAUGAACACAAGCUGGUCUGUGACAUCAGUCACUUUUACCCUCAUGAUGCCGAGGCUCAGUGGUUUCAGGAACCAAUGCAGCAGGGGAUGCUCCCACAUGUGGUGACUCACGUUGUCUCUAGUAGUCACAGGCAGAACAGCGAUGGGACUUACAGCUUCUCCAGUUACUUCCUGCUUAAGGCCUCCCUCAGGGACGAUGGGCGUCGGUACACCUGCCGGGUGGAACACCAAAGCCUAAAGCACCCAAUCAAGAAAAGCCUGACGGUGAAAGUGACAGAAUCUACCUCAGCAACUUGGCUCCUUGUCAUCCUAUUCGUCGUCCUUGCUGGGUGUCUUGUUGUGAUGUUGUAUUUUCUUUACCAAGGGAUGAGCACCAAUAAGCCAAAGCCUUACUAGAGCAUGAGACCGUUCAAUCCAGUCAGGACCUGCUGCUCCCUAGCUGAGGAAUGAAUCACAACACAGAGAGUGGAAAGAAAGAACGUGUGCUGGAUCUGCACCAGGAGCUCUAGAUGGUGUUUCUCCAAACAUACACUUUGGAGCCAUUUACACUUGUACAAGCUACUGCGGUGGGAGUGGAGAAUUCUGAUUUGCACAAGUUGUAAAGGAAUGAAAAGUUGAGCCUGGUCUGGAUUUUUUUGUACUGCUAUGAAUGUUGUUUAGUGCUGAAGCUUCAGGAACACUUUACCAGUCAUGUGGCCUCCAGACAACAUCAGGAGGGAAGGAUCUGGGACAUUGCAACUGAAUUUCCAAACUACAGGGAUUUAAACGAGGCCUUAUGCGUUUCAGUGACAAUCCAAUUUCAUGCCUGGCACAGGGAGAACGUUUGUAAGGGCUCAAAGGUUGGUGGAAUCCAGGUAAGCUAUGCCAGGUCGUUACUGUAAUGUGCAUGUUUUAGACUAAUUGAAUACUUAUUUUCCCUUCUUCCAUGUGGUUUGAUUAGUAGUAGGGACCAAUCUUAUUUCAAGGUAUCACCCUAAAUUACUUAUGAUGAGCCUUGAAGGGAGGGGGCUCUGCUUCAAAAAAGUACUCUAGUGAAAUAAAUUCACCUCUGGAAAAAAAAAAAGAGAGAACACGAGGGCCAGCUUCUCAAUUGGUAUAACUCUAGCACUGAACUUCAGGGAUUUCUACCAGCUGAAGGUCUGCCCACCAUGUUGACUGAGACCUGGCCUACCCAUAUUGUAUAAAGCACCUUUCUACCUAUAUAACCGGCCAUGUCACAUGAGGGGCAGGUACCACUCUGAUGCCAGUAUUGUUAAAGCAUUACAGCUUCUGCCUGGAAGCAAACCCAUAGACAAUCUACAGGGCACUGGUAUUCAACAGCUUGUCACUUGCAGGUGCUCUUAACCAAAGGGGCAAAAAGUCAUCACUUCUUGUUCAUCUUAAAGUUUUAUGGAGCUUACUGUUGUAAAGAGACAUGAUGCCUGAAAAUGGCACUAUGUGUUAGUAAUGAACUUUGUGGUUUUUGUAAAGUAAAUAAUUCACAACAUUAAAAAGAGAGAAAUACCCAAUUUGAGGUCAACUCAGAUCACGAUAAGCAAGGGCACUCAUUCAUUGUUUUAACAUUGAAUUAAGGCACUGGCCAUUUAUAGCGUUUAGCAGCUGGAAUGGAUAGCUUCAGUGUCAGAUUUUAAACGGCCAAGUACCCACUUCAGUCAAGCAUGUGCGUAAAGCUAAGUUUAAAGUUCCAUUGCAUUCAAUGGGACAUAAGUACAUGCUUAAAUGGUUUGCUGAAUUGGUCCCAAAUUCUGUUCUCAAAGUAAAUCAGGAGUAACUCUACUGAAGUUACACCAGUAUAAAUGAACAAAAUUUGGCCUACGGUGUGUUGGAACAAUUUUUCAUUUUGAAAAAGUGUGUUACCAACUAUAUUAAGAGCGUCAGGUGAUGGAAAUUGGCGAUAGCAAUCAGUGGAUGUAUGCCAGUUUCAAUUUACAAAGUGAGGAUCUGGCUUAUAUGGUUUAGCCAUUCAUUUACAUUUGCUCUCCCAUAGGGCCUGAUUCUGAUCUCAUACACUGCUGUAAAGCAGGAGUAACUCCAUUGUAGUUCAUGGAAGUAAACCGGCAUAAAAUCACAUAAGGGAGAUCACAAGCAACCCUUGCAGGGUGCAGUUUAAGCCAAGUGCUUUAUCAGUGCACAUAAAUCCUGGUACGCUUACAGGCACAAAAUAUGUUAUUUAUUGUGAACUUUGCAAAGACACAAUUAAGCAACAAAAUAUACAUUUUUGAACCUUUAGAAUUAGUUUUUAUACAUAACAAAUACAAUAUGCUACCAUAGCAAUAAAUUAAAUGUACAUUAUUUACACAAACAUAGGUAACCAGAAACUCUACAAAGCAUCACCUCUCUACAAAAAAAUAAUUUUUUUGUCAGAUACAUUUCAUUAAGAAUUUUUUUCUACACGGUUACCUCUCGUCACAUUCUAAUGUUUAGAAAACCCUUUGCAGGAUUUUAUACAGUACUACAUUCAUGACAAAAAAAAAAAAAACCUGAAAGCAUGCUUUAAGAUUUGGAAAAAAAAAGAAACCUUUAACUAUUUAAAAAUGAAACAGAAUUUUGAACGUAAGCCCCAUGAAUCGAGGUGCUGAGCCCCCACAAUGUCCAUUGACUUCAAUGGCAGUUGUAUGUGCCUCUCACAAUCAGGCCCAAAGAUCGCUGAAAAAUCUUUGGCACAGAUCCUCAGCUGGUGUUAAUGUGUCCAUUUACACCAGCUCGCUGUUUGGCCCUUCAUCGCUACAUUAACCAAAGCCCUAGUUCAGAAAAGCAGUUAAAUAUUUGCUUAAGUACACCCCUGUUCAACAAAGCACUUUAAGGGCUCUGCUUUCUGUGGAGUUCAGUGAGACUUAUGCAGGAAAGCACUUACGUACAUGUAAGUUUGCAUACACAGCUGCAAACCAAUCCCCUUCCUGCUAUUGAGAGGCAGGACAAAAUUCUCCAUUCCAUUCCGCACUUGAGAUUUCCUGUCUGCAAUGUGGGAUUGAUUGCAUAUGAUAUACUUGGGAUGGGGUUUUCAGAGGCUCAGCAAUUUAGGAGCACAAGCCCCAUAGACUUUCAAUUUGACUCCUGCUGUUAACUCCCUUAGAAGCUUUUGAAAAUCCCCCUCUUCUUCUCUGCCUAGAGUCCCCAGUGCUCUCUGUGGAAGUUCCAGGCAGGUAACAAGUGCAGGAUGUGCUGCAGAUUAGAGAAGAGAACUUCUUGCCCUUAGGGCUCAAAUAAGUGGUGGAAAAGUUAAAGCAUAAAAUAAAAUGACCCCCAACUGGAAGACCAGGCCUUCAUUGAAGUCAGUGGAGCUAUGCUGUUUUACACCAGCUGAGGAUCUGGCCCAGAAUGUCUUAUUUGGAAAUUAAAUAAAUAUACAGUGUUUGCACUUCCAUCGUACCCAUGUUAAUACAGUAAAAUCAGUGCAAGAAGGUAAGACAGACCCUAGAACACUGUCCCAUAGAAAUCUCUCUUUUUUGUGGACCAUGUGAAGAAUGACACAAAUAUCUUGUUUCUGCUUUCUGAAUCCCCAUUUUUCACUCACACUGGAAAAGUGCACUGUCUGAGAAUUUAGUGUAUUAACUAGAACUACUGAGGUUUUCGUCUAAUGUAGUUCUUGUCAUCCUGAAGCACUCUGCAAUAUAUACUGAUGUGUAGAUGCCUCCUAGGUGUAGCACAGGAAGUGAAGAAUACUGUCCCUCCCUUAAAACGAAUGUAAGUAGACAAAGUAAUUCUAUGGGAAUGUGGCUAGGACAGCAGCAUUAAAACCCCUACUCUUGUAAAAUGCUCCACAGGAUCUUUAAUGAUCACAAGUGGUGAGGGGGGUAAAAAGUAUCUAAGACUCAUCAAGCUUAAAUUCGUGACAUGUUUGGGUACUUUUGAAAACUUGACCUUAAGUCUCCAUCUCCUCUGAAAUUCUGUGGGAGUGGUAUUGUGAAGAUGAGUCCACUUUGCUCUAUUUCUCUCAUAUAUUUUCAAACUUUCCCAUCGACAUUGCUUUGAAUCACAUUCAAACAACUUUUACUGAAAGUCACAGUCUCUAAUGAAAUACCCCAAGAUGACAUGUCUUAUGCCAAAAGAUUUUACAGAGAUCAGCACUUAAGAUAAAGGUGACUUCUGUAGAAUCAAAGCAGCCCGUUGAAAUACCAAAAAAACCUCAAAGCAAAAGUAAAAAAAAAAAAAAAAGCUACCAGGUGACAUUUUGGUAUAUGGCUUCAAGAAAUUGAUCAAACACUAUCUAAGUGAAAGAGUGAAGAAAAUAUGUAAAAGUUGCUGCCCUGGCACACAAAUAUGAGCUUUUAAAAUGUUUUGAACCUGAGACAUCUGUACCUAUCUAUACAUACUGCUGCAAAACAGGACUUAAGAGACAGUGCUUUUUCCUUAUUUAAACAAAAUAUUCAUUUUUAAUAUUUAAAUUCUAUUCGGGGAAAGUAUUCUGAAUUUUGGUUAGUUGUUACUAGUAUUUCAUUCUGCAGAGAGCAGUACUUUUUAAAGAAAAACUGUCUGUUCUCAGAGAAAAUAAUCAAUAAAAUUUGUCUAUUGCCCUUUA